UAUGGCUUUUUAUUCCUAUGUGAUGAUGAAAAGUGUUCAUGUAGGAACAGAAGCCAUUUU
Amphilophus citrinellus (Midas cichlid) is the source of this 60-nucleotide microRNA precursor. NCBI's taxonomy places the organism in Eukaryota, Metazoa, Chordata, Actinopteri, Cichliformes, Cichlidae. The record is from Ensembl.